Molecule: long non-coding RNA, 221 nt
Filed under: Coffea arabica (coffee)
Lineage: Eukaryota; Viridiplantae; Streptophyta; Magnoliopsida; Gentianales; Rubiaceae
Description: long non-coding RNA (CARA_LNC005723)
Source: RNAcentral
GAAAAAUGCACUUUUCAUCCUCAAAGUUUGGGUCGUUGACCAUUUUCAUCCUCAAAGUUUCACUCAAAACACAUUUCAUCCUCAAAGUAACGUAAUUUUGGCCAAUUAAGGACAAUUGACGGGAAUUGGCAAAUUUAUCGUUAGAACCAACCGUAAACCCAACAAAAAUGGGUAAAACCGAAGGACCAAAAUUAGUUAGCUAAAUUAAAGCUCUACUAUUA